UACGGAAGGCAGCAGUGGGGAAUAUUGCACAAUGGGCGCAAGCCUGAUGCAGCCAUGCCGCGUGUAUGAAGAAGGCCUUCGGGUUGUAAAGUACUUUCAGUCGUGAGGAAGGUGUUAAGGUUAAUAACCUUAGCAAUUGACGUUAGCGACAGAAGAAGCACCGGCUAACUCCGUGCCAGCAGCCGCGGUAAUACGGAGGGUGCGAGCGUUAAUCGGAAUUACUGGGCGUAAAGGGCACGCAGGCGGUUAAUUAAGUUGGAUGUGAAAUCCCGGGCUUAACCUGGGAAUGGCAUUCAAGACUGGUUAGCUAGAGUCUUGUAGAGGGGGUAGAAUUCCAUGUGUAGCGGUGAAAUGCGUAGAGAUGUGGAGGAAUACCGGUGGCGAAGGCGGCCCCUGGGACAAAGGACUGACGCUCAUGUGCGAAAGCGUGGGGAGCGAAACAGGAUUAGAUACC
This 454-nucleotide ribosomal RNA is filed under the name uncultured bacterium. RNAcentral describes it as "bacterial SSU rRNA". It matches the Rfam family "Bacterial small subunit ribosomal RNA", at positions 340 to 786 of the family's 1533-position model. The record is from RNAcentral.